This 30-nucleotide non-coding RNA is filed under the name Mus musculus (house mouse). The record is from RNAcentral. Lineage: Eukaryota; Metazoa; Chordata; Mammalia; Rodentia; Muridae.
UGGUCCAUGGCUGCAAACGGAACACUGAAU